RNAcentral lists this unclassified non-coding RNA (686 nucleotides) under Gigantopelta aegis. Its description in RNAcentral is "uncharacterized LOC121369237, transcript variant X1". The record is from RNAcentral. Lineage: Eukaryota; Metazoa; Mollusca; Gastropoda; Neomphalida; Peltospiridae.
CGCCGUCUGUGCAAAAUUAAUGUUUGAUCAAGCGGAAUACGUUUACUGUAAUCAAACUGCGUUAACACUCAGAAAGCGCCAAAAUGGAACGGUCUCGAGUUGACAGUGAUAAUACCAUUCUGUUUAUGGACGUUUUGCCUUUGGCUCAGCCUGGUCAUUAUUUCAUUCUGUAGCACAUUGGUUCUGCAGAUCCAAAUCCACCCACGAAAGCCGAGAUGUGGUGAUGAAAAAUGCCUUCUUUCAGCAUAUAUUUAGUAUGCUUUUGUUUUCUACUGGAUUUGUCUCUGUCCUUGAGAGAAAAGAAUAUCAAAUGCGCCUCUCCCCCAGAGUGUCGAGAUGGAUGCACGGAUGGAUACAGAGGACCUUACUGCAACAGACGGUGUCCAAGAAAAUGUUUAAAAUGUCACCGUUACACAGGAGAUUGUUCGAGUAAUUGCCACGAUGGACAUUUCGGCAGGCGUUGUAGUACGCGGUGUUAUUUCUGUAACAAGUGUGACAUGUACGGCAACUGUCUGUCGGAGGAUGACACAGAAGAAGCUACGUCCUUCACGACAGCCAACUCAGUUACUUCGAGGGUCACCAUUAGAACCAGGCGUUUGAAGGCCUCGCGUAACUAUGCGGACAGUGUGAAGAGCUGUGGGAAACGUACAACAGAAUACAAUGCAAAUAUCAAGAUACGUAUAUUU